CCUACGGGCGGCAGCAGUGGGGAAUAUUGGACAAUGGGGGGAACCCUGAUCCAGCCAUGCCGCGUGUGUGAAGAAGGCCCUCGGGUUGUAAAGCACUUUCAGUGAGGAAGAACGCCUGGUGGUUAAUACCCAUCAGGAAAGACAUCACUCACAGAAGAAGCACCGGCUAACUCCGUGCCAGCAGCCGCGGUAAUACGGAGGGUGCGAGCGUUAAUCGGAAUUACUGGGCGUAAAGCGCGCGUAGGUGGCUUGAUAAGCCGGUUGUGAAAGCCCCGGGCUCAACCUGGGAACGGCAUCCGGAACUCUCAAGCUAGAGUGCAGGAGAGGAAGGUAGAAUUCCCGGUGUAGCGGUGAAAUGCGUAGAGAUCGGGAGGAAUACCAGUGGCGAAGGCGGCCUUCUGGACUGACACUGACACUGAGGUGCGAAAGCGUGGGUAGCAAACAGGAUUAGAUACCCGUGUAGUC
Molecule: ribosomal RNA, 465 nt
Filed under: Vreelandella stevensii
Lineage: Bacteria; Pseudomonadati; Pseudomonadota; Gammaproteobacteria; Oceanospirillales; Halomonadaceae
Description: partial 16S ribosomal RNA
Rfam family: Bacterial small subunit ribosomal RNA
Source: RNAcentral